This 499-nucleotide ribosomal RNA is filed under the name Yarrowia lipolytica. RNAcentral describes it as "eukaryotic LSU rRNA". It matches the Rfam family "Eukaryotic large subunit ribosomal RNA", at positions 79 to 660 of the family's 3401-position model. The record is from RNAcentral. Lineage: Eukaryota; Fungi; Ascomycota; Dipodascomycetes; Dipodascales.
CUCAGUAACGGCGAGUGAAGCGGCAAAAGCUCAAAUUUGAAACCCUCGGGAUUGUAAUUUGAAGAUUUGGCAUUGGAGAAAGCUAACCCAAGUUGCUUGGAAUAGUACGUCAUAGAGGGUGACAACCCCGUCUGGCUAACCGUUCUCCAUGUAUUGCCUUAUCAAAGAGUCGAGUUGUUUGGGAAUGCAGCUCAAAGUGGGUGGUAAACUCCAUCUAAAGCUAAAUACUGGUGAGAGACCGAUAGCGAACAAGUACUGUGAAGGAAAGGUGAAAAGAACUUUGAAAAGAGAGUGAAAUAGUAUGUGAAAUUGUUGAUAGGGAAGGAAAUGAGUGGAGAGUGGCCGAGGUUUCAGCCGCCCCUCGUGGGCGGUGUACUGCCGACGCCGAGUCAUCGAUAGCGAGACGAGGGUUACAAAUGGGAGCGCCUUCGGGCGUUCUCCCCUAACCCUCCACACUGCCACCGACGACAUAAUCCACCCAUUUCACCCGUCUUGAAAA